UCACCCCUCAACCCCCCACUUAUGUGUGUGGUGUUUGGAUAUGGAAGUUUUGCAGGCCUCUCGAGGUCAGCUCUUCUUAAAUGUAUUAGUGGUGUCCAUUACUACUGCAGGUGUGAUAAAUCAUUUAUGCCUUUGCUGGUGGUAUUGCAUUGCUUGAAAAACCAAAUUUAUGACAA
Molecule: unclassified non-coding RNA, 176 nt
Filed under: uncultured Inocybe
Lineage: Eukaryota; Fungi; Basidiomycota; Agaricomycetes; Agaricales; Cortinariaceae
Description: sequence contains ITS2
Source: RNAcentral